Molecule: long non-coding RNA, 387 nt
Filed under: Gallus gallus (chicken)
Lineage: Eukaryota; Metazoa; Chordata; Aves; Galliformes; Phasianidae
Source: RNAcentral
GCCGCUUCCCCGGAGAGCGCCCCGCCGGCCCGGCACCCGCCCGACGGGGCUGAGCCCGAGGGCGCGGGGGUCGGGGACCCCGGAGAGAGCCGCGGCCGCCGCCGCCGCGCCUCCCAGUGCUAAGCACGUGUAGGACUCGGAUCGGCGCCGAGGCGAGGCGGCGGGGACCCGGGCGCACGGCGGGCAGCGCCCGGUGAAGGAUGGCCCUUUCCCAGGGGCUCGGCCCUGAUUUAUGUGAGAACCGCAGCGCUCCGGGGACGCCCCCGCACGGCGGGGCCGCUCCCCGGGACAGCGCCCGGCGGACGGUACCGGCGAUGCCCCGCCGCUCCCGGCCCCGCACCGCCCGGCCACCUGCCGGCUGCCCGCCCGACGUCCGCGCACCGAGCC